AUUGAACGCUGGCGGCAUGCCUUACACAUGCAAGUCGAACGGCAGCACGGGUGCUUGCACCUGGUGGCGAGUGGCGAACGGGUGAGUAAUACAUCGGAACAUGUCCUGUAGUGGGGGAUAGCCCGGCGAAAGCCGGAUUAAUACCGCAUACGAUCUACGGAUGAAAGCGGGGGACCUUCGGGCCUCGCGCUAUAGGGUUGGCCGAUGGCUGAUUAGCUAGUUGGUGGGGUAAAGGCCUACCAAGGCGACGAUCAGUAGCUGGUCUGAGAGGACGACCAGCCACACUGGGACUGAGACACGGCCCAGACUCCUACGGGAGGCAGCAGUGGGGAAUUUUGGACAAUGGGCGAAAGCCUGAUCCAGCAAUGCCGCGUGUGUGAAGAAGGCCUUCGGGUUGUAAAGCACUUUUGUCCGGAAAGAAAUCCUUGGCCCUAAUACGGUCGGGGGAUGACGGUACCGGAAGAAUAAGCUCCGGCUAACUACGUG
This 486-nucleotide ribosomal RNA is filed under the name uncultured bacterium. RNAcentral's name for it is "partial 16S ribosomal RNA". It matches the Rfam family "Bacterial small subunit ribosomal RNA", at positions 30 to 507 of the family's 1533-position model. The record is from RNAcentral.